RNAcentral lists this long non-coding RNA (202 nucleotides) under Elaeis guineensis (African oil palm). RNAcentral's name for it is "long non-coding RNA (EGUI_LNC027652)". Lineage: Eukaryota; Viridiplantae; Streptophyta; Magnoliopsida; Arecales; Arecaceae. The record is from RNAcentral.
ACUUCUAUUGCAAGCAGACUUCAUCCAAGUUUCUACGGUAAGUGGACUUCGUCCGAGCUUCUACAAUAAGCGAUCUCCAUCCGGGCUUCCAUGGCAACCGGUCUCCAUCCGAGCUUCUAUAGUAAACGACCUCCUUUCGGACUCCUACAAGAACCAGACUCUGUCUGAACUUCUACAGUGAAUGGAUUCCAAACGAACUUCU